UGGGGAAUUUUGGACAAUGGGCGAAAGCCUGAUCCAGCAAUGCCGCGUGUGUGAAGAAGGCCUUCGGGUUGUAAAGCACUUUUGUCCGGAAAGAAAUCCUUGGCUCUAAUACAGUCGGGGGAUGACGGUACCGGAAGAAUAAGCACCGGCUAACUACGUGCCAGCAGCCGCGGUAAUACGUAGGGUGCAAGCGUUAAUCGGAAUUACUGGGCGUAAAGCGUGCGCAGGCGGUUUGCUAAGACCGAUGUGAAAUCCCCGGGCUCAACCUGGGAACUGCAUUGGUGACUGGCAGGCUAGAGUAUGGCAGAGGGGGGUAGAAUUCCACGUGUAGCAGUGAAAUGCGUAGAGAUGUGGAGGAAUACCGAUGGCGAAGGCAGCCCCCUGGCAAGUACUGACGCUCAUGCACGAAAGCGUGGGGAGCAAACNGGAUUAAUACCCUGGUAGUCCACGCCCUAAANGAUGUCAACUAGUUGUUGGGGAUUCAUUUCCUUAGUAACGUAGCUAACGCGUGAAGUUGACCG
RNAcentral lists this ribosomal RNA (521 nucleotides) under uncultured bacterium. RNAcentral's name for it is "partial 16S ribosomal RNA". It matches the Rfam family "Bacterial small subunit ribosomal RNA", at positions 355 to 871 of the family's 1533-position model. The record is from RNAcentral.